AUUCUCAACCUAACAAGHUUGUAACGAGCUUGCUUAGGCUUGGACUUGGAGGHCUUGCUGGCUGCUCGUUCAGUCCGGCUCCUCUCAAAUGCAUUAGCUUGGUUCCUCUGCGGAUCGGCUCACGGUGUGAUAAUUGUCUACGCCGCGACCGUUGAAGCGUAUAUAGGCCAGCUUCUAAUCGUCUCUUGCGAGACAAUUCUAUCGAA
Molecule: unclassified non-coding RNA, 206 nt
Filed under: Polyporus tricholoma
Lineage: Eukaryota; Fungi; Basidiomycota; Agaricomycetes; Polyporales; Polyporaceae
Description: ITS2
Source: RNAcentral